GACGAACGCUGGCGGCGCGCUUAACACAUGCAAGUCGAACGGAAAGGCCUGCUUUCCCUUGUGGAUUGCGGGUACUCGAGUGGCGAACGGGUGAGUAACACGUGAGUGAUCUGCCCCCAACUUGGGUAUAAGCCUGGGAAACUGGGUCUAAUUCCCGAUAGGACUGCAGGGUGGUGCCUGUGGUGGAAAACGAUUUUCUAGUGGUUGGGGAUGAGCUCGCGGCCUAUCAGCUUGUUGGUGGGGUAAUGGCCUACCAAGGCGGGGACGGGUAGCCGGCCUGGGAGGGUGGGCGGCCACAUUGGGCCUGAGAUACGGCCCAGACUCCUGCGGGAGGCAGCAGUGGGGAAUAUUGCACAAUGGGCGGAGGCCUGAUGCAGCGACGCCGCGUGGGGGAUGACGGCCUUCGGGUUGUAAACUCCUUUCGACCGCGAGGAAGCCACCUGGUUGGAAGGGUGGUGACGGUAGUGGUAGAAGAAGCACCGGCUAACUACGUG
Molecule: ribosomal RNA, 494 nt
Filed under: uncultured bacterium
Lineage: Bacteria
Description: partial 16S ribosomal RNA
Rfam family: Bacterial small subunit ribosomal RNA
Source: RNAcentral